AUCGGCGUGGAUCAGCUUGCUUCGCGGAGCUUGCGCAUUUCCUCGCAUGGCAGGUCAGCGUCAGUUUUGCGCGGCGUGAAAAGGCUCGGGUAAGGUAGCUCUCUUCGGGGAGUGUUAUAGACCUGGGCAAAUGCGCAGCGCGGGACUGAGGAUUGCAACGGACACCUCUUCGGAGGCGCGGCGACCGAACCCUGCUCGGCCACCCUCGUUCGAUAGCGUGCUAACGGACGCGGGAGCGGCGGUGCACCGGAACAGGCAAGCCAGCGGUUCGCUUAGGAUGCUGACGUAAUGGCUUU
This 296-nucleotide ribosomal RNA is filed under the name uncultured Glomeromycotina. RNAcentral's name for it is "partial 28S ribosomal RNA". The record is from RNAcentral. Lineage: Eukaryota; Fungi; Glomeromycota.